This 32-nucleotide non-coding RNA is filed under the name Mus musculus (house mouse). Lineage: Eukaryota; Metazoa; Chordata; Mammalia; Rodentia; Muridae. The record is from RNAcentral.
UGAACCUUUACAUAAGUGGUGACACCUCAAGC